This 327-nucleotide ribosomal RNA is filed under the name uncultured eukaryote. RNAcentral describes it as "partial 18S ribosomal RNA". It matches the Rfam family "Eukaryotic small subunit ribosomal RNA", at positions 1470 to 1796 of the family's 1831-position model. The record is from RNAcentral.
CCCCUAGAUGUUCUGGGCCGCACGCGCGCUACACUGAACAGUUCAACAAGUCUUAACCUUGGCCGAUAGGUCUGGGUAAUCUUUGAACGCUGUUCGUGAUUGGGAUAGACCUUUGCAAUUAUGGGUCUUCAACGAGGAAUUCCUAGUAAACGCAAGUCAUCAGCUUGCAUUGAUUACGUCCCUGCCCUUUGUACACACCGCCCGUCGCACCUACCGAUUGAAUGGUCCGGUGAAGCUUUCGGACUUAUGCAAUGUCGCCUUUACCGGGGACGCUGCUUUGGGAAGUUAGUUUAACCUUACCAUUUAGAGGAAGGUGAAGUCGUAACA